RNAcentral lists this ribosomal RNA (1987 nucleotides) under Photobacterium damselae subsp. piscicida. RNAcentral's name for it is "partial 23S ribosomal RNA". It matches the Rfam family "Bacterial large subunit ribosomal RNA", at positions 956 to 2925 of the family's 2925-position model. The record is from RNAcentral. Lineage: Bacteria; Pseudomonadati; Pseudomonadota; Gammaproteobacteria; Vibrionales; Vibrionaceae.
CCGAAUACCAGUAAGUACUAUCCGGGAGACACACGGCGGGUGCUAACGUCCGUCGUGAAGAGGGAAACAACCCAGACCGCCAGCUAAGGUCCCAAAGUUAUAGCUAAGUGGGAAACGAUGUGGGAAGGCUCAGACAGCCAGGAUGUUGGCUUAGAAGCAGCCAUCAUUUAAAGAAAGCGUAAUAGCUCACUGGUCGAGUCGGCCUGCGCGGAAGAUUUAACGGGGCUAAGCUAUACACCGAAGCUGCGGCAAUGUGCUUUGCACAUUGGGUAGGGGAGCGUUCUGUAAGCCGUUGAAGGUGCAUUGUAAAGUGUGCUGGAGGUAUCAGAAGUGCGAAUGCUGACAUGAGUAACGACAAAGGGAGUGAAAACUCCCUCGCCGGAAGACCAAGGGUUCCUGUCCAACGUUAAUCGGGGCAGGGUGAGUCGACCCCUAAGGCGAGGCCGAAAGGCGUAGUCGAUGGGAAACGGGUUAAUAUUCCCGUACUUCUUACUAUUGCGAUGGGGGGACGGAGAAGGCUAGGUGAGCCUGGCGACGGUUGUCCAGGUCCAAGUACGUAGGUGGAUGAAUUAGGCAAAUCCGGUUCAUCAUUAACACUGAGAUACGAUGUCGAGCUACUACGGUAGCGAAGUCAUUGAUGCCAUGCUUCCGGGAAAAGCCUCUAAGCUUCAGAUAGUAAGAAAUCGUACCCCAAACCGACACAGGUGGUCGGGUAGAGAAUACCAAGGCGCUUGAGAGAACUCGGGUGAAGGAACUAGGCAAAAUGGUACGUAACUUCGGGAGAAGGUACGCUCUUAACGGUGAAGUCCCUCGCGGAUGGAGCUGUCGAGAGUCGCAGAUACCAGGUGGCUGCAACUGUUUAUUAAAAACACAGCACUGUGCAAAAUCGAAAGAUGACGUAUACGGUGUGACGCCUGCCGGUGCCGGAAGGUUAAUUGAUGGGGUUAGACGUAAGUCGAAGCUCUUGAUCGAAGCCCCGGUAAACGGCGGCCGUAACUAUAACGGUCCUAAGGUAGCGAAAUUCCUUGUCGGGUAAGUUCCGACCUGCACGAAUGGCGUAAUGAUGGCCACGCUGUCUCCACCCGAGACUCAGUGAAAUUGAAAUCGCUGUGAAGAUGCAGCGUACCCGCGGCUAGACGGAAAGACCCCGUGAACCUUUACUACAGCUUGGCACUGAACAUUGACCCUACAUGUGUAGGAUAGGUGGGAGACUUUGAAACGCAGACGCCAGUUUGCGUGGAGUCGUCCUUGAAAUACCACCCUUGUAGUGUUGAUGUUCUAACUUGGCCCCAUUAUCUGGGGUGAGGACAGUGCCUGGUGGGUAGUUUGACUGGGGCGGUCUCCUCCCAAAGAGUAACGGAGGAGCACGAAGGUGGGCUAAUCACGGUCGGACAUCGUGAGGUUAGUGCAAUGGCAUAAGCCCGCUUAACUGCGAGAAUGACGGUUCGAGCAGGUGCGAAAGCAGGUCAUAGUGAUCCGGUGGUUCUGUAUGGAAGGGCCAUCGCUCAACGGAUAAAAGGUACUCCGGGGAUAACAGGCUGAUACCGCCCAAGAGUUCAUAUCGACGGCGGUGUUUGGCACCUCGAUGUCGGCUCAUCACAUCCUGGGGCUGAAGUCGGUCCCAAGGGUAUGGCUGUUCGCCAUUUAAAGUGGUACGCGAGCUGGGUUUAGAACGUCGUGAGACAGUUCGGUCCCUAUCUGCCGUGGGCGUUGGAUGAUUGAGAGGGGCUGCUCCUAGUACGAGAGGACCGGAGUGGACGAACCUCUGGUGUUCGGGUUGUGUCGCCAGACGCAUUGCCCGGUAGCUAAGUUCGGAAUCGAUAACCGCUGAAAGCAUCUAAGCGGGAAGCGAGCCUCAAGAUGAGUCAUCCCUGAUACUUUAAGUAUCCUAAAGGGUUGUUGGAGACUACGACGUAGAUAGGCAGGGUGUGUAAGCGCUGUGAGGCGUUGAGCUAACCUGUACUAAUUGCCCGUGAGGCUUAACCAU